Molecule: non-coding RNA, 1447 nt
Organism: Heterocephalus glaber (naked mole-rat)
Lineage: Eukaryota; Metazoa; Chordata; Mammalia; Rodentia; Bathyergidae
Source: RefSeq, a predicted model, not a curated record
UUUAAAUAUCUUCUUUGAUAGUUAUCCAGGUGGUUCCACUUGACCUCAUGCCAGAAGAUUGGCAUCAGGUGCUAGGCUUGUCUUGUUUUCCUGUCAGAAGAUUGAUAUCAGGUUUAGAGUGUUCUUGUGUCAGAAGAUUGGUGCCGAGUGUAGGACUCGGGUUGAUCUUGUCAGACUCAGAAGCUUCUGGUCUGGGGCAACGGUUAACAAGUCUCUUCAACUGGCAGGUCCUUCCCAAUUUUUCCAGCCACACUGCCAUGCCCUAGUCUUCUACCUCUUUUUUUUUUUUUUGGUACUGGGGAUCAAACUCAGGACCUUGUGCCUGCAAGGCAGGUGCAGUGCUACUGAGCUAAAUCCAUGGUCCUCUUCUCUUUUGAAGGUAGUUAUUCAGUCUACUACAUUUUUUUUGGUACCAGGGAUCAAACUUGGGACCUUGCUACAUUUUUUUUUUUGAUAUUUCCUUACUGCCUAUGAACCAACAAUGCAGUGAAAAAUAUGCUUUAUGCAAGAUCUAAUUAUUUUGUGGUGGGAAGCCUUUCAGUACUCUGUACCAGCCUUUUAUACUUCUAGAAGCAAACAUUCUCUUAAGAAGUAUUAAAAUAUUCAUAAAGUUUCACUCCAAACCUAGGCAGUCAGAAUCUCUAAGGUUAGGUUUAUGAAAUAUGAUUAAAAUAUAUGGUAAGUGUUUAAGUUUUUAAAAAAUUUAUUUCGGUAAAACAUGCAUUGCUGUUAAUCCCCCUCAAAAUGCUCCCCUUCACUUUCAGCACCUCCCAUCAUUCUUUCCACUUUCUGCAGCUGUUCUGCAGAAAGUCCUCUUUGUGAGUGUCUUUAUGAGGUGUGAUCAACAAUACAGCAGAUGCCGCUGCUAAGCACCAUCCAGCAAAAUGGCAGAAUCGUAAAAACAUGACAGGGUGUCCUCCUUUACCCUUUUCACCACAUCUGGCACUGUGUGACUUUUGGGUCUUCCCCGAAGUCCAAUUUACCAUGAAAGGGAAAUAUUUUGGAUCAAUUCAGGACAUUGAAGCCCUCACAGCAGCCCGACCAGAGACACACAACAAAAGGGGACUUCCAGAACAGCAUCAGAAAGUGGCGAGAAUGACAGGAAAAGGGUACUAGAGCAGGCGCAGAACUUCAUCCACAGUGGCCGGAUCAUGGGGCUUCUGGGGAGAAGAUGAGGCCAAGUCACCAUCCGUCUCCCGAGAAGGAAGUGGCUUGGUCCAGUCCACCCAGCUUCCAGCUUCCAGCCCUGCAGUCUGGGAGCAUAGUGUGCAGGCACACAGCUGUAGCGGUGUUAACACCUAAUUGCCUGCAUCUUCACAAAGCCUACCUCUCUCCUUUAAGGAAAGGAAACACCUUUUGUUUUGUAUCCAUUGUCUGCCAGUUUCUGGCCUGUAGGACAAUUAGAUAAAGAUGUACUCAAGGAUGAAUAAAUGUUCUUAUAAAGCAA